AUGAACGCUGGCGGCGUGCCUAAUACAUGCAAGUCGCGCGAACGGACGAGAAGCUUGCUUCUCUGAUGUUAGCGGCGGACGGGUGAGUAACACGUGGAUAACCUACCUAUAAGACUGGGAUAACUUCGGGAAACCGGAGCUAAUACCGGAUAAUAUUUUGAACCGCAUGGUUCAAAAGUAAAAGACGGUCUUGCUGUCACUUAUAGAUGGAUCCGCGCUGCAUUAGCUAGUUGGUAAGGUAACGGCUUACCAAGGCAACGAUGCAUAGCCGACCUGAGAGGGUGAUCGGCCACACUGGAACUGAGACACGGUCCAGACUCCUACGGGAGGCAGCAGUAGGGAAUCUUCCGCAAUGGGCGAAAGCCUGACGGAGCAACGCCGCGUGAGUGAUGAAGGUCUUCGGAUCGUAAAACUCUGUUAUUAGGGAAGAACAUAUGUGUAAGUAACUGUGCACAUCUUGACGGUACCUAAUCAGAAAGCCACGGCUAACUACGU
Molecule: ribosomal RNA, 495 nt
Filed under: uncultured bacterium
Lineage: Bacteria
Description: partial 16S ribosomal RNA
Rfam family: Bacterial small subunit ribosomal RNA
Source: RNAcentral